RNAcentral lists this microRNA precursor (73 nucleotides) under Myotis davidii. Its description in RNAcentral is "mir-9193 microRNA precursor family". It matches the Rfam family "mir-9193 microRNA precursor family". The record is from Rfam by way of RNAcentral. Lineage: Eukaryota; Metazoa; Chordata; Mammalia; Chiroptera; Vespertilionidae.
CCUAGGGGGUGGGGGUCCCUCAGCCAGGAUUGAGAGAGGGCACAGGCCAGGCCGAGAGACCCCACCGUGCACC